This 735-nucleotide ribosomal RNA is filed under the name uncultured Fusobacterium sp. RNAcentral describes it as "bacterial SSU rRNA". It matches the Rfam family "Bacterial small subunit ribosomal RNA", at positions 28 to 776 of the family's 1533-position model. Lineage: Bacteria; Fusobacteriati; Fusobacteriota; Fusobacteriia; Fusobacteriales; Fusobacteriaceae. The record is from RNAcentral.
GAUGAACGCUGACAGAAUGCUUAACACAUGCAAGUCUACUUGAAUUUGGGUUUUUAACUUAGAUUUGGGUGGCGGACGGGUGAGUAACGCGUAAAGAACUUGCCUCACAGCUAGGGACAACAUUUAGAAAUGAAUGCUAAUACCUAAUAUUAUGAUAAUAGGGCAUCCUAUAAUUAUGAAAGCUAUAUGCGCUGUGAGAGAGCUUUGCGUCCCAUUAGCUAGUUGGAGAGGUAACAGCUCACCAAGGCGAUGAUGGGUAGCCGGCCUGAGAGGGUGAUCGGCCACAAGGGGACUGAGACACGGCCCUUACUCCUACGGGAGGCAGCAGUGGGGAAUAUUGGACAAUGGACCGAGAGUCUGAUCCAGCAAUUCUGUGUGCACGAUGAAGUUUUUCGGAAUGUAAAGUGCUUUCAGUUGGGAAGAAAGAAAUGACGGUACCAACAGAAGAAGUGACGGCUAAAUACGUGCCAGCAGCCGCGGUAAUACGUAUGUCACGAGCGUUAUCCGGAUUUAUUGGGCGUAAAGCGCGUCUAGGUGGUUAUAUAAGUCUGAUGUGAAAAUGUAGGGCUCAACUCUGUAUUGCGUUGGAAACUGUAUAACUAGAGUACUGGAGAGGUAAGCGGAACUACAAGUGUAGAGGUGAAAUUCGUAGAUAUUUGUAGGAAUGCCGAUGGGGAAGCCAGCUUACUGGACAGAUACUGACGCUGAAGCGCGAAAGCGUGGGUAGCAAACAGG